This 70-nucleotide transfer RNA is filed under the name Rattus norvegicus (Norway rat). It matches the Rfam family "tRNA". Rfam says of the family: Transfer RNA (tRNA) molecules are approximately 80 nucleotides in length. Their secondary structure includes four short double-helical elements and three loops (D, anti-codon, and T loops). Lineage: Eukaryota; Metazoa; Chordata; Mammalia; Rodentia; Muridae. The record is from Rfam by way of RNAcentral.
GGGGAUUUAGCUCAGUGGUAGAGCGCUUGCCUAGGAAGCGCAAGAACCCUGGGUUCGGUCCCCAGCUCCG